Molecule: ribosomal RNA, 241 nt
Filed under: uncultured bacterium
Lineage: Bacteria
Description: partial 16S ribosomal RNA
Rfam family: Bacterial small subunit ribosomal RNA
Source: RNAcentral
UAGGUAAUUUUCCCUUGAGCGGGGGACAACGUUCCGAAAGGGACGCUAAUACCGCAUAAGUUCUUUGGGUCCUCGGACCUGGAGAGGAAAGCUAGGUAGCAAUAUCUGGCACUCGAGGAGAAGCCUGCGUCGCAUCAGCUUGUUGGUGGGGUGAUGGCCUACCAAGGCGACGACGGGUAGCCGGCCUGAGAGGGCGACCGGCCACACUGGGACUGAGACACGGCCCAGACUCCUACGGGAG